RNAcentral lists this long non-coding RNA (607 nucleotides) under Lathyrus oleraceus (garden pea). Its description in RNAcentral is "Pisum sativum (pea) long non-coding RNA (PSAT_LNC040893)". The record is from RNAcentral. Lineage: Eukaryota; Viridiplantae; Streptophyta; Magnoliopsida; Fabales; Fabaceae.
UAAUCGGACAUCCCUUUUUCCUGAAAAAUAUAAAGACAUAACAACAACACAAAGCAGUCCAAUCUAGAUCUAUUAGAUUCUGCGCGGACACGGGAAACUGAUGAAGACAAACGGUGAGAGGCUGCGAGUGAUACGGCGUUGUUGAUUGGGGUUUGACGGAAGCGUUUUGGGGCUUUUCCUACGGUGGAUGAAGAGGGUUUGAGCGUGGGUUUUGAAGAGGCGGAAGUUGUGUGGAGCUUGACGGUGGUGAAUGAAAAUGGAGAGGAGGCGGCGGCUGGGGGUUUGAUGGUGGUGCGAUUUCGAGCGGUGGAGGGUUUAAGGUGGUGGAGAAUCGUGAAUGUGAGAUUGAUGAUGAAGAAUGAAGGGUGGCGGCGAGGGUUUUCGCUGGGGGUUAGCGAUUUUUUAGUGAAAUUAUGAAUGAGAUGAGUGUUUUGUGAGCGAGAGAUUCUGAAGGAUUCUUUCGUGUGAGAGAUAAAGGUUGUUGUGAGUGGCCAGUGAGGUGGGAGGGAUUUGAGAGAGUGAAUGUGUGAGCAGAGAGUGAGAGAGAAACGGAUUUAAGGAGAGUUGAGAGAGAGUGGUAGCGCGUGUGUGGCGAGUGUGCUAUGAG